CCUACGGGUGGCAGCAGUGAGGAAUAUUGGUCAAUGGGCGCGAGCCUGAACCAGCCAAGUCGCGUGAGGGAAGACGGUCCUAUGGAUUGUAAACCGCUUUUGGCGGGGAGCAAAAGACGGCACGCGUGGCGUUCCUAGUGUAUCCGAAGAAAAAGCAUCGGCAAACCCCGUGCCAGCACCCGCGGUAAUCCGAAGGAGGCGAGGGUUAUCCGGAUUUUUUGGGUGUAAGGGGUGCGCAGGCGGAAGAUCAAGUCAGCGGUAAAAUUGAGGGGCUCACCCUCGUAGAGCCGUUGAAACUGGUGUCCUUGAGUGAGCGAGGGGUAGGCGGAAUGCGUGGUGUAGCGGUGAAAUGCAUAGAUAUCACGCAGAACUCCGAUUGCGAAGGCAGGAUACCGGCGCUCAACUGACGCUGAGGCACGAAAGUGUGGGUAUCGAACAGGAUUAGAUACCCUUGUAGUC
RNAcentral lists this ribosomal RNA (459 nucleotides) under uncultured bacterium. RNAcentral's name for it is "partial 16S ribosomal RNA". It matches the Rfam family "Bacterial small subunit ribosomal RNA", at positions 338 to 795 of the family's 1533-position model. The record is from RNAcentral.